UACGGAGGGUGCAAACGUUGCUCGGAAUUAUUGGGCGUAAAGCGCACGUAGGCGGACCGUAAAGUCGGACGUGAAAUCCCUCGGCUUAACCGAGGAAGUGCAUUCGAAACUGCCGGUCUUGAGUAUGGAAGAGGGUCGCGGAAUUCCCGGUGUAGAGGUGAAAUUCGUAGAUAUCGGGAGGAACACCAGUGGCGAAGGCGGCGACCUGGGCCAAUACUGACGCUGAGGCGCGAAAGCGUGGGGAGCAAACAGG
Molecule: ribosomal RNA, 253 nt
Filed under: uncultured bacterium
Lineage: Bacteria
Description: partial 16S ribosomal RNA
Rfam family: Bacterial small subunit ribosomal RNA
Source: RNAcentral